RNAcentral lists this long non-coding RNA (313 nucleotides) under Pan troglodytes (chimpanzee). RNAcentral's name for it is "long non-coding RNA NONPTRT016782". The record is from RNAcentral. Lineage: Eukaryota; Metazoa; Chordata; Mammalia; Primates; Hominidae.
CUCAUGGAUGGAAGGGACUUGCCUUGUCUCAGAUGAGACUUUGGACUGCAGCUUUUGACUUAAUGCUGAAAUGCGCCUUUGGAAAAAACACUGAGAAAGCAUUUCAGGUAUCUGCCAUGGAAAAUACCAUCAAGUGGGACACCCGCAGCGAUCUCUGUACCCACAAAAGUCACACUUGCUAUCCUUGGUGAAUUUUCCUUAAAAACUGUGGAUGAACUUCCAGUGACUGCGUAAAUAAGGUUUGUGGACUUCUGAAUUCAACCAGAGAAUUGUUGCCCUUGCGUAGGAACUCCGAACUCAGAGUGGUUCUGUG